AAUGGGGGAAACCCUGAUCCAGCCAUACCGCGUGAGUGAAGAAGGCCUUCGGGUUGUAAAGCUCUUUCAGCCGGAAAGAAAUCGUGCAGGCUAAUACCCUGUAUGGAUGACGGUACCGGAAGAAGAAGCACCGGCUAACUACGUGCCUGCAGCCGCGGUAAUACGUAGGGUGCGAGCGUUAAUCGGAAUUACUGGGCGUAAAGCGUGCGCAGGUGGUUGUUUAAGACAGAUGUGAAAUCCCCGGGCUUAACCUGGGAACUGCGCUUGUGACUGCCAGGCUAGAGUACGGCAGAGGGGGGUGGAAUUCCACGUGUAGCAGUGAAAUGCGUAGAGAUGUGGAGGAACACCAAUGGCGAAGGCAGCCCCCUGGGUCGAUACUGACGCUCAUGCACGAAAGCGUGGGGAGCAAA
RNAcentral lists this ribosomal RNA (410 nucleotides) under uncultured bacterium. RNAcentral's name for it is "bacterial SSU rRNA". It matches the Rfam family "Bacterial small subunit ribosomal RNA", at positions 370 to 772 of the family's 1533-position model. The record is from RNAcentral.